UACGAAGGGGGCUAGCGUUGCUCGGAAUCACUGGGCGUAAAGCGCACGUAGGCGGAUUUGUAAGUCAGGGGUGAAAUCCCGGGGCUCAACCUCGGAACUGCCUUUGAUACUGCAAAUCUCGAGUCCGGAAGAGGUGAGUGGAAUUCCUAGUGUAGAGGUGAAAUUCGUAGAUAUUAGGAAGAACACCAGUGGCGAAGGCGGCUCACUGGUCCGGUACUGACGCUGAGGUGCGAAAGCGUGGGGAGCAAACAGG
Molecule: ribosomal RNA, 253 nt
Filed under: uncultured bacterium
Lineage: Bacteria
Description: partial 16S ribosomal RNA
Rfam family: Bacterial small subunit ribosomal RNA
Source: RNAcentral